CCUACGGGAGGCAGCAGUGGGGAAUAUUGCACAAUGGGCGAAAGCCUGAUGCAGCAACGCCGCGUGAGCGAUGAAGGCCUUCGGGUCGUAAAGCUCUGUCCUCAAGGAAGAUAAUGACGGUACUUGAGGAGGAAGCCCCGGCUAACUACGUGCCAGCAGCCGCGGUAAUACGUACGGGGCAAGCGUUAUCCGGAUUUAUUGGGUUGAAAGGGUGCGUAGGCUGUGAGGGAAGGCAGCGGUGAAAUGCCCCCGCUGUACGGGGUGAAGUGCCAUUGAUACUGCCUUGCUGGAAUGCGGAUGCCGGGGGAGGAAUGUGUGGUGUAGCGGUGAAAUGCAGAGAUAUCACACAGAACACCGAUUGCGAAGGCAUCUCACGAAUCCGCAAUUGACGCUGAUGCACGAAAGCGUGGGUAUCAAACAGGAUUAGAUACCCCAGUAGUC
This 441-nucleotide ribosomal RNA is filed under the name uncultured bacterium. RNAcentral's name for it is "partial 16S ribosomal RNA". It matches the Rfam family "Bacterial small subunit ribosomal RNA", at positions 338 to 795 of the family's 1533-position model. The record is from RNAcentral.